AGGCAGCAGUGGGGAAUCUUGCACAAUGGGCGGAAGCCUGAUGCAGCGACGCCGCGUGCGGGACGAAGGCCUUCGGGCUGUAAACCGCUUUCAGCAGGGACGAGGCGAAAGUGACGGUACCUGCAGAAGAAGCCCCGGCUAACUAC
RNAcentral lists this ribosomal RNA (146 nucleotides) under uncultured bacterium. RNAcentral's name for it is "partial 16S ribosomal RNA". It matches the Rfam family "Bacterial small subunit ribosomal RNA", at positions 346 to 504 of the family's 1533-position model. The record is from RNAcentral.